RNAcentral lists this ribosomal RNA (253 nucleotides) under uncultured bacterium. Its description in RNAcentral is "partial 16S ribosomal RNA". It matches the Rfam family "Bacterial small subunit ribosomal RNA", at positions 524 to 776 of the family's 1533-position model. The record is from RNAcentral.
UACGUAGGCAGCAAGCGUUGUUCGGAGUUACUGGGCGUAAAGGGUGCGUAGGCGGCCGUGUAAGUGUGGUGUGAAAUCUCCCCGGCUUAACUGGGAGGGUGCGCUACAGACUGCAUGGCUAGAGUGUGGGAGAGGAAAGUGGAAUUCCUGGUGUAGCGGUGAAAUGCGUAGAUAUCAGGAGGAACACCGGUGGUGUAAACGGCUUCUGGACCAUAACUGACGCUGAUGCACGAAAGCGUGGGUAGCAAACAGG